UGGGGAAUAUUGGACAAUGGGCGCAAGCCUGAUCCAGCCAUGCCGCGUGAGUGACGAAGGUCUUCGGAUUGUAAAACUCUUUUGGCGGGGACGAUAAUGACGGUACCCGCAGAAUAAGCCCCGGCUAACUUCGUGCCAGCAGCCGCGGUAAUACGAAGGGGGCUAGCGUUGUUCGGAAUCACUGGGCGUAAAGCGCACGUAGGCGGAUGUGCCAGUCAGGGGUGAAAUCCCGGAGCUCAACUCCGGAACUGCCUCUGAUACUGCACGUCUUGAGUUCGAGAGAGGUGGGUGGAAUUCCUAGUGUAGAGGUGAAAUUCGUAGAUAUUCGGAAGAACACCAGUGGCGAAGGCGGCUCACUGGACCGUUGUUGACGCUGAGGUACGAAAGCGUGGGGAGCAAACAGGAUUAGAUACCCUAGUAGUCCCUGAGCGGGCUGGCAAGGCGCAU
RNAcentral lists this ribosomal RNA (447 nucleotides) under uncultured bacterium. Its description in RNAcentral is "bacterial SSU rRNA". It matches the Rfam family "Bacterial small subunit ribosomal RNA", at positions 355 to 825 of the family's 1533-position model. The record is from RNAcentral.